AAAACCUCACCGGCUCCAGACAUCCCUGUAAGGCAAAGGCAAACAGAUGCUUGGUAACUGUGGAUCAUCAAGUCAAUUUCCAAGGGAAAGAAAGUGGCCACGUGUUCAGUUAUGGAAAACUUAAAAAUAAAUACUCAAUGACCUCUCUUUCAAGGAUGUCCUGCGGUUCUCUUGAUGACUUCUAAGACUGGACUUGGGCAAA
Non-coding RNA from Podarcis muralis (Common wall lizard), 202 nucleotides. Lineage: Eukaryota; Metazoa; Chordata; Lepidosauria; Squamata; Lacertidae. The record is from RefSeq and is a predicted model, not a curated record.